UGGAUUGAGACAACGUACAAACCUUAUCGAUAAACAAUUGGAGGGCAAGUCUGGUGCCAGCAGCCGCGGUAAUUCCAGCUCCAAUAGCGUAUAUUAACGUUGUUGCAGUUAAAAAGCUCGUAGUUGAAAUGAAGGGUAGUUGUGUAAUGAAUACAUUCGUGUAUUUUGUUAUUCUACUACCCUCCUUCUAAAUUCGAUAUAUGAGUAUUAAUUUACUUGUAUAUGGUUUUAGACUUUUACUGUGAGAAAAUUAGAGUGUUCAAAGCAGGCAUUUGCUUGAAUAUAUUAGCAUGGAAUAAUCAUGUAUGAUUUUCAUGAUGUAUUUGAUUGGUUUGGUUCAUGAGAAUAAGAUUAAAAGGGACAGUUGGGGGUAUUCAUAUUCAAUAGUCAGAGGUGAAAUUCUCGGAUUUAUGGAAGAUGAACAAGUGCGAAAGCAUUUACCAAGGAUGUUUUCAUUAAUCAAGAACGAAAGUUAGGGGAUCGAAGAGGAUUAGAUACC
Molecule: ribosomal RNA, 499 nt
Filed under: Blastocystis hominis
Lineage: Eukaryota; Bigyra; Opalinata; Blastocystidae
Description: bacterial SSU rRNA
Rfam family: Eukaryotic small subunit ribosomal RNA
Source: RNAcentral